Molecule: transfer RNA, 72 nt
Filed under: Heterocephalus glaber (naked mole-rat)
Lineage: Eukaryota; Metazoa; Chordata; Mammalia; Rodentia; Bathyergidae
Rfam family: tRNA
About the family: Transfer RNA (tRNA) molecules are approximately 80 nucleotides in length. Their secondary structure includes four short double-helical elements and three loops (D, anti-codon, and T loops).
Source: Rfam by way of RNAcentral
GAAUGUGUAGCUCACUGGUAGAGCACAUGCUUACCAUGCAUAAGGCCAUGGGUUCAAUCCCCAACACACACA